GGCGAGAUGGCCGAGCGGUCUAAGGCGCCAGACUAAGGUGGUCACUUCGCAGUGUCACGCAAUCUGGUCCUCACGGGCGUGGGUUCGAAUCCCACUCUCGUCA
Molecule: non-coding RNA, 103 nt
Organism: Cubamyces lactineus
Lineage: Eukaryota; Fungi; Basidiomycota; Agaricomycetes; Polyporales; Polyporaceae
Source: the annotation of a GenBank genome assembly